Lycium barbarum (goji berry) is the source of this 1650-nucleotide long non-coding RNA. RefSeq lists it as uncharacterized. The transcript has 2 exons. Lineage: Eukaryota; Viridiplantae; Streptophyta; Magnoliopsida; Solanales; Solanaceae. The record is from RefSeq and is a predicted model, not a curated record.
CAUACUAGUUUAGUUGGAAAAGGUUUCAGAAUAAAGACAUCAUAUAGGAGAAACCUCUGUUCAUGCAAAAGGUACACAUGCCGAAAAUUCAUUCUUUGAAGAAUUUUCAGACACAAAGAUAAGUAGCAACAGUAACGUGAGCUAUGGUAGCAAGCAGCAAUAUUGCGUUUUCUUGAAAACAAAAAAAUUAGCAGCAACGUUUUCCUUAUUCCAAAUGGGAAACGUAUGAUCCCUCUCACGAAGAAAUAUAAUGAGUUUUGCGCUCCGCUUCAAUCUCGUGGUUUUAUUUUGUCGUGUUAUUGAAUCUGGGCUUUCUUCGAAGGGAAGUAAAGUGGAAAAAGAUCAUUUCUUGGCAUAUAAGGUUUAUCAUAUUAAUUGUGGAAGUUCUUGGCUGGACUGAGCUCUUGAACGACGUAAGGUAUGUAAAGUUAACCCUUCUUUCUUUUUGGCAUGAUCUUUAUGAAAUGAACAUACGAUGUGAAUAUGAUUCCAAAGAAGUUCCUAUUCUUACUAGGAUGGCUAAUGUUCUUGAUUUCCAGAAGCUAUUUCGUUAUGUCUCGAUACGUGUAUAUGAUUCCGGAAGUUCUAUUUUGAUAUAACCCACAGUGACAGUCGAAAGGUAUUUGAUAUGACUAUUGUCUUGGUUUUCAAAUGAUGAUUCAUUUUGAUUAUUCUAUUGAGUCUCAGAUAUGAUUUAAUUUGCAUAUGGUUUCUCACUACUCUGCUCGUGCAUGCCUCAAUACAUCUUUCACUGAGUCCCGGGUCAGGACAUGUUUACGUGCACAGAUUCACUGCAUUAUUCACCGAGUCCCUCACUAGAGGGCCGGGACACGUUAUAUAUAUGUAUAUGAUGAUAUGAUGAUAUGGGGAUGGCGGCCAGGAUGACACAUGAUGAUCUUAUUCACCGAGUCCCUCACUAGAGGGCCGGGACACGUUAUAUAUAUAUAUACAUGAUGAUGAUAUGAUUUUAUUUACCGAGUCCCUCACUAGAGGGUCGGGACACGUUAUACAUAUGCAUAUGAACAGGAUGAUUCUCUAAUGGUGACAUUAAGUUUCAUAACGAGUUAAGUCUGAUAUUGACACCAUGAUUUAUGAUUCAAAGGUAAGCCUUGUGGUUUUCUGGUUAUUGUACUGGUUUUCUAUACUCCUCACUUCAGUAUGAUCCUGUUUAUUGUAUUUAUGCUUUACAUGCUCAGUACAUAUUCCGUACUAACCCCCUUUCUUCGGGGGGCUGCGUUCAUGCCCGCAGGUACAAAUGCUCACGUUAGGUAACCCGCCAGCUUAGGAGUCCUAUUCAGCUAUCUUGGAGAGCUCCCUUGUUCCGGAUCCUAGAUUUUGGUACAGAAUCUCUUGUGAUGUAUAUGUAUUUUAUCCAGGGGUACGGCGGGGCCCUGUCCCGUCAUAUGAUACUGUUGUUACUCUUAGAGGUCUGUAGACAUAUGUGUGGGUUGUGUAUAAGUUCUGUUCAGCUGUGUCUAUACGAUGUGCUAUGAUAUGAUGUCUGUCUGUAGUGGCAGCCUUGUCGGCUUGCAUAUGACACGAUAUUGAUGUGUAGUGGCAGCCUUGUCGGCUUGCGUAUCAUUUUAUGAUUUGAUCAGUUGUGACUCCUCAGGAGACAAUUUAUCUGAAUAUACAUAUAUGAUGACGUUA